Bos taurus (domestic cattle) is the source of this 1066-nucleotide long non-coding RNA. The record is from Ensembl. Lineage: Eukaryota; Metazoa; Chordata; Mammalia; Artiodactyla; Bovidae.
AGUCAAGUUGUGUUGAGUCGAGUCUCAUAGUAGUCGUUGCUGCUACUGUGUCAGCCAUUAGAGGGUAAAGCAUGUCUGCUUUGCCAAGGUGACUUAAGAAUUUCUGCAGUUCCUAUGGCUCCUCACAUCUUCUUCCAGCUCCGCCCUGCCUGCCCUGCCAGUGAGACAAGAGCACUCUGAAGCAUGUCUCAUCAUGAACCAGGACUUCGGUUCAAAUGGAGAAAGAGGAUUCAGCGAGUUUUGGGGGGUCAUAAUGAGUAUGGAUUUCCACUCUGGAGAAGUCAACUGAUGAAGAACAGGGGUUGGCAAUCUUCCCGUUGGUGUAUUUUUGGUAAAUUGCUGACUCUGAUGCAGAAGGAGCAUGGAUGCUGAAGCCAAGAAGCAGAAAUCAGCCAACUGACAGAAGUGGCAACUAGACACAAAACAACUUAGUGAUGGGUUCAAGAAGAUGGGGUCAAUUUAAAAUUUUUUUAAUUUAUUCUUCAGUUACAACUGAAUAUAUUUUUGAGCAGGCAAUGAAUUAAAACACAAAGAACAGUAAGCAGAGAAACAUAUGUUAGGUAAAUUACAGAGACUUUUUAGUGAAACUAUUUUUUAACUUACUGCAAUUCAACUCAAGAUAAUAUUUUUAUAUUUUCAAGUUAAUUUUUACAUCACAAAUCAAGAUUUAUCUAUGUUCAGAUAGGUUCUGCUGGCUUAUGUCCAAAAGGCUUUGCUCUCUGGAGAGAAGUAUUCCUUGCUUUUAAAGCACUUAUUAACACUUUUUACUUGUCAGGAAUUAUGCCCAGUAUCAAGGCUAUGAAGGACUAGACACAGCCCCUAUCCUGGUGGGGUGGGGAGGGAUUGUCAUGGAGACUAUAUGCUCAAACAUUUUCCCGCCUCACCAUCAUUUUCCAUCUUACAAUGCCACCAAUCUGAGCUUUAUAGAUAGUUUCUCUGUACAGUUUCUGUACAUUUGAUAAUGAUCCUUAAUUCAAUUCACCUGACCUCUCAAAAUCUUGCCAUGCUUUAUUUUUUCCUUUCUUUAACUUCUUUUUUUCCCCCUGGGUUCGUUCUUCCAUGCCAG